Molecule: ribosomal RNA, 68 nt
Filed under: Pestalotiopsis sp. CBMAI1349
Lineage: Eukaryota; Fungi; Ascomycota; Sordariomycetes; Amphisphaeriales; Sporocadaceae
Description: partial 28S ribosomal RNA
Source: RNAcentral
CGCUUUUGUUAGGUGCUAUAACUCCCAGCCGCUAAACCCCCAAUUUUUUGUGGUUGACCUCGGAUCAG